This 145-nucleotide small RNA is filed under the name Staphylococcus aureus. Its description in RNAcentral is "5'UTR". Lineage: Bacteria; Bacillati; Bacillota; Bacilli; Caryophanales; Staphylococcaceae. The record is from RNAcentral.
AGAAUCACCAAAAGUUGAAGUCCCUCAAAUCCAAUCACCAAAAGUUGAGGUUCCUCAAUCUAAAUUAUUAGGUUACUACCAAUCAUUAAAAGAUUCAUUUAACUAUGGUUACAAGUAUUUAACAGAUACUUAUAAAAGCUAUAAA